GCGGCCGCCCGGCCCGCUUGACAUACCAGAAAUAGCUGCACACAAUUGUACCUUUCCCGGCCAAGAAACCUCCCCCGCUGGGGAGCGCGGCCCGCCGCCCUCACCUGAGCCCCGGCCAGCUGAGCCCGCUACCCGCUCUCCCGCCGCGAUCCGGCCCAGCCGCCAGAGAGAACAAGGAUAAAGAAGUAUCCAAAUACAAAGAAAAUGUUAUGCAAGUGACCUUUAGAGAUGUUUUAAAGAUGACAAAAUAUUGAUGAAGAUGGGCCAACAAGUGUUACUGUUACCUCUAAUAAAGUUUCAUCACUAGUUUCACCAUGGUUAAUUGGAAAUGGCUUCCGCCCAUCUGUGGAAAACAGACAAACAAUUGAAUGCUUAGCUGUUUUUACAGGAUAAUGUGCUUUCAACUUCCAUU
RNAcentral lists this long non-coding RNA (412 nucleotides) under Homo sapiens (human). Its description in RNAcentral is "non-protein coding LMO7-AS1:3". The record is from RNAcentral. Lineage: Eukaryota; Metazoa; Chordata; Mammalia; Primates; Hominidae.